This is a small nuclear RNA of Suncus etruscus (white-toothed pygmy shrew), 107 nucleotides long. NCBI's taxonomy places the organism in Eukaryota, Metazoa, Chordata, Mammalia, Eulipotyphla, Soricidae. The record is from RefSeq and is a predicted model, not a curated record.
GUACACCUACAGGCAGCACAUAUACUAAAAUUGGAACGAUACAGGGAAGAUUAGCAUAGCUCCUGCACAAGGAUGACAUGUAAAUUCGUGUAACGUUCCAUAAAAUU